UACGUAGGGUCCGAGCGUUGUCCGGAAUUACUGGGCGUAAAGAGCUCGUAGGUGGUUUGUCGCGUUGUUCGUGAAAACUCACAGCUCAACUGUGGGCGUGCGGGCGAUACGGGCAGACUAGAGUACUGCAGGGGAGACUGGAAUUCCUGGUGUAGCGGUGGAAUGCGCAGAUAUCAGGAGGAACACCGGUGGCGAAGGCGUGUCUCUGGGCAGUAACUGACGCUGAGGAGCGAAAGCGUGGGGAGCGAACAGG
This 253-nucleotide ribosomal RNA is filed under the name uncultured bacterium. RNAcentral describes it as "partial 16S ribosomal RNA". It matches the Rfam family "Bacterial small subunit ribosomal RNA", at positions 524 to 776 of the family's 1533-position model. The record is from RNAcentral.